Molecule: ribosomal RNA, 253 nt
Filed under: uncultured bacterium
Lineage: Bacteria
Description: partial 16S ribosomal RNA
Rfam family: Bacterial small subunit ribosomal RNA
Source: RNAcentral
UACGAAGGGGGCUAGCGUUGUUCGGAAUCACUGGGCGUAAAGCGCACGUAGGCGGCUUUGUCAGUCAGGGGUGAAAUCCCGGGGCUCAACCUCGGAACUGCCUUUGAUACAGCAAGUCUUGAGUUCGAGAGAGGUGAGUGGAAUUCCUAGUGUAGAGGUGAAAUUCGUAGAUAUUAGGAAGAACACCGGUGGCGAAGGCGGCCCACUGGCUCGAUACUGACGCUGAGGUGCGAAAGCGUGGGGAGCAAACAGG